UACGUGGGGGGCAAGCGUUGUUCGGAAUUAUUGGGCGUAAAGGGCUCGUAGGUGGCCAACUAAGUCAGACGUGAAAUCCCUCGGCUUAACCGGGGAACUGCGUCUGAUACUGGAUGGCUUGAGUUCGGGAGAGGGAUGCGGAAUUCCAGGUGUAGCGGUGAAAUGCGUAGAUAUCUGGAGGAACACCGGUGGCGAAGGCGGCAUCCUGGACCGAUACUGACGCUGAGGAGCGAAAGCCAGGGGAGCAAACGGG
This 253-nucleotide ribosomal RNA is filed under the name uncultured bacterium. Its description in RNAcentral is "partial 16S ribosomal RNA". It matches the Rfam family "Bacterial small subunit ribosomal RNA", at positions 524 to 776 of the family's 1533-position model. The record is from RNAcentral.